Long non-coding RNA from Hemiscyllium ocellatum (epaulette shark), 1121 nucleotides. RefSeq lists it as uncharacterized. NCBI's taxonomy places the organism in Eukaryota, Metazoa, Chordata, Chondrichthyes, Orectolobiformes, Hemiscylliidae. The record is from RefSeq and is a predicted model, not a curated record. The transcript has 4 exons.
GCUCCUGCAUCUAGCUCAGCCAUGGGCCUGGAUCUGCGUUCCUUCUGUCCAAUGCCUCAGGUUCAUGCUGUUAAAUCCACAACACUGCUGUAACCUCACUUCACAACAAAGAAUCACCAUUCUCUGCGGCCAUCUUGCCUCCACCAACGCUGUCACCAUGAGGUGUGCGCUUGUCCAACCUUAUCGAUAACAGCCACCACUGGUUCCGCAGGGUUCUGCACUGGGACCAAACUCACUGCUAUCGGAAGCCCAGGCCUGGCCGCAGCCCUGGAGCCUCGGCUCAGCCUGCGGGUGUGGACCAGGGGAUUAAGCCUGUGACCUGCUCUUCGCUUGCCGGGAGACUUCGAGCUAAGGUGGAGCCAUUGCCAUUUAGUACUUGGCAUUGCUGCAGCUGCUACUGAAUACUGCCUCCUUCAACAUUUACUUGGCCAUGCUGCUCCGUGGGCCCACUCUCGCCAAUUCCGCCGCUGACAUUGCUGUAACCAAGGCGAAAAGGAUUCAAAAAUGGAUUCAAUCUGAAAUCUUGAAAAAAGACCUCAGCAUCUGGAUCUCCACUGUGCCAUCUGGAUGCAUCGCCACCCAUCAUCAUGGUCUGUCAGCAGGAGGCCACUUCCAAGCAACUGUCCUGUCUCCUACUGUCUUUGAUGACCUACUUGUUGACUGGAAAAUCCUAAUUGGCCUUUGACAGUUGGCUUCGUGACCUUUAACUGUGUGCAUUGGCUAUCUGCUGCUUGAAGCUCGGAUACCCAACCCCAUCCUGCCCCAGGAAAAUGACCCUGAACAAGGCGGAGUUGGCGAACCAGCAUGCUGACCAGCAGCACAAAAUUCUGAUGCCUCUACCCCAUUGUAUUUGCACAGUGAGUGGAACCAGGAUUGUACUAAAGUGUUCUCUCCAACUCCAUCACACUCCAUCAGAACACCUCAACUCCUGCUGACAUCCUCAACUAGGACUCACCUGAGGACCUGUUAAACAAGUGACCAAAACCUCAAUCUGACUGAAAGAAGAGAUUCCUAUGGAGGUAUCCAAAAUAUUUAGGGUGAAUGGAAGGUCAUUGAUGAAGCAACUGAAGAUGAUUGAGCCUGGGUCACCAUCUUGAGGAACUCUUGCAGAGACAUCUUGG